AGUGUGUCCCCGCAGUGUGGCGCGCACCUUAUAAAAGCCAAACCUAUAAAUCAUUUCGUCUGUCGCGAGCCGAUGUUGUGUACCUAACCUACGCGUACAGGUGAGUGCUAGAUUUAAACUGCACUUGCGCAGACAAGGGCUGCCAUCAAUCAAUAGGAAUCGCGAUUCGGCCCGGAAGCUGCAAGCUCGCCCGGCCACUGAGUCUCGAGCAGCCGACCUUGCUGUACGGGUUAACCUCUGCUGACGAUCUACUCACCAAUUGCGAUGACUACUCCGAGGGAGGCUGGGACGCGGCUGGUCAUCGUCACCGACUCGCCGUACAAGGACAUGCAGAACAUGCAGCAACCGACGGAUGUGACGAUGUGGUGCAUCUGUGAGGUGUGCGGCCUCCGCAUUCACCCCAUACAUGGCUACCACACCACCUCCAGCGGUUCUGCCCCUGCCAACUAAAUGCGCUGCAUUUGGCUCAGAGCGAUUAUUAUAUUAAUUUCGUCUUAGUCUCUCUCUAACCCUUAGAUUGUCCUAAUAUAAAGAAUUAUUGUAUCAACCUACCUUAGAGAACCACUUUCUAUUAAACCCUUUUUAGUUUGA
Molecule: long non-coding RNA, 591 nt
Organism: Helicoverpa armigera (cotton bollworm)
Lineage: Eukaryota; Metazoa; Arthropoda; Insecta; Lepidoptera; Noctuidae
Exons: 2
Source: RefSeq, a predicted model, not a curated record